GCGAGGAUGGCGGAACUGGCAGACGCGCCAGAUUUAGGAUCUGGUGGGCAAACCCCAUGGGGGUUCGACUCCCCCUCCUCGCA
Molecule: transfer RNA, 83 nt
Filed under: Deltaproteobacteria bacterium
Lineage: Bacteria; Pseudomonadati; Myxococcota; Myxococcia
Description: tRNA-Leu
Rfam family: tRNA
About the family: Transfer RNA (tRNA) molecules are approximately 80 nucleotides in length. Their secondary structure includes four short double-helical elements and three loops (D, anti-codon, and T loops).
Source: RNAcentral